This is a long non-coding RNA of Apis cerana (Asiatic honeybee), 2026 nucleotides long. RefSeq lists it as uncharacterized. The record is from RefSeq and is a predicted model, not a curated record. Lineage: Eukaryota; Metazoa; Arthropoda; Insecta; Hymenoptera; Apidae.
UAUCACAAUCACUGAUCUAUUUUGCCCUGAGAUUUACAGCUAAUAUAUUUUUUAAAUAUAUUUUUUUAAAAAUAGAAAUUAGAAAUAAUAGAUCAAAUGCGUUCUUUUGGGAAAAACCCACCUUUUUUUCUAUUUUCGUAUAAUACCAAUGUUAGAGAAAAAUGCACAGGUAUUUUUUUCUUCAAUACCUACAAGAAAGAAUAGGAAUCAUAAUAGGAAAAAUCUGCCAUACAAUUUUGGGAUAGUUUCGGUCCCACGAGAUUUGACCUGAACCCACAUUUUCAACGACCAUCUGCUCCUGGAUCACAUACUUCAUAUAUAUUUUUCUCAGAGCACGAAGCUCUGUGCAACAGACCGACCAUACCUAACCUCUUGAUCUCAGGAAGCCAAAACGUAGCUGCCUCUUGUAGCAAAGAGAAGCCAGGAGUCUCGAAUAUAAACACAACGGUCGAAGACACGUUAUAACUGCCGCGAUACGAAACGAGAACGACGACGAUGACUACGACGGAUUUAAGCCACGAUACUUGAAUCAGUUCUCCCUCUCUAUUUUUCUCUCUCCUUUUCUUUUUCGGCCCUCUUCCUGUACGCCGUUUAUCCGUCUCCCUUCUAUGAAUGAAUUCGAGAACGUAAAACAAAGUUCAUCUCGUCUCGCCGCGCAUCCGCCUAUUUUCGGUUCAGACGCGCGCCCUUCGACUUUCGUUAGGGGAGAAAAUUAUUUCGGUCGAGGCGAGCUCUUUUCUCCGAGAGAGAACCGCCUCUCAUCCUGCUUUAUUUCAUAUUGAACGAUUAACACCAGGGACAAACGCGGCCAAUCGUCCUUCAAUCGUUUCUCUUUCCUUUGAAUCGAAAGAAAAAAAAAAUCGAAAAAAAUAUUUCGAGAGAGAAAUGAACCAAGCACGAAUGGCGAAUAAGUAGUCGGUGGCUGGAGGUUGCCGUGGGUCAGCGAGAUUGCUGCAUUCGUGCAGCGUGUGCACGAGAAACGAAAAAUUAUUGCAUAUAUCUUGCAUAUAGAAGGCUCGUAUUCGAAUAGCUUGCGAGAAUGAGACGAAGCAGCAACAGCGUCAGGAAGAGUGGGAGAUGGAGGAAGAGAGAAAGAGAUGAAUAGGUAAGAGAGAAAGAGAAAAAGAACGGAGAAAUGGACGUAGUACAGCGUCCAUCGUAUACGGAGUACAGAGGUAUCAGACCAGGAAACAAAGGAACGACCUAACAGAGAGCAACGCGGAACAAACGAUAUAGACACGGGUCAAGUAUUCACGAAGUUCAAUGAAACACUGUUCUUUUAUAGAUUGAGAAAAUUUAAACGAAUGAAAUAUCUUUCCACGAAACAAGCAUGGUCGCAAAUUCCUUCGAACGAUAGGAGAACCAGCGAUAAUCGCGAUAAAUAGCGAUCAAGGCGAAGAGGCAGGGCUCCUUUCGAUCGAGCGUGCACGCACGAUCGCACUUAUUCUAUGCAGCCAUUGUGUUCCCUUCUCUCGAAAGAAGCAGCGAGAUUCGUCAUGAAUACGAACAACCUGCCGUAUUCUCAAACAUUUUUUCAUGUCUAAAUACCUGCAUUAGCGCGUGUAUAAAUAUCGACAAACAUAUAGCGAAAUAAAUUUUUCAAUCGAAGUAUUUAUAUAAUUAUCAACUACUCGAAUUGUGAAAUAAUAAUCGUUCGCGAUUCAAGAUUCAAUAGAUUUAAAGUUACGCGCCAAUAUAGAUCGAGUUAUCGUAAAAAUACUCGUGAAUUUUUUAUUAUCGAGUCGCUAAUAAAUUUAUAAUUUUUGUCUUAUAUCAAUCUUAUAUCAAAUUUUACUCACCAUGAUGUAUGAAUAAAUUAUAUUUUUUUAGUAGAAACUUUAACAGGAAACUUCGCUGAACAUCCAAGGAUCCACUGACGAAAAAAAACACGCGACACUAACAACUUUUCUUUGAAAAGUAUUCUUACGAAUAAUAAUAUGCACCGCUAUCGAAAGAAAAAUUUAAUAAUUUAUCGUAAUUGAGAUACUGAAGAAAAAAGAAAAAAAACGUAGAAAAUAAAAAAUCA